Molecule: unclassified non-coding RNA, 337 nt
Filed under: soil metagenome
Description: partial contains 5.8S ribosomal RNA, internal transcribed spacer 2, and large subunit ribosomal RNA
Rfam family: 5.8S ribosomal RNA (bases 1-120)
Source: RNAcentral
GAUGAAGAACGCAGCGAAAUGCGAUAAGUAGUGUGAAUUGCAGAAUUCAGGGAAUCAUCGAAUCUUUGAACGCACAUUGCGCCCCUUGGUAUUCCAUGGGGCAUGCCUGUUCGAGCGUCAUUUGUACCUUCAAGCUCUGCUUGGUGUUGGGUGUUUGUCUCGCCUCUGCGUGUAGACUCGCCUCAAAACAAUUGGCAGCCGGCGUAUUGAUUUCGGAGCGCAGUACAUCUCGCGCUUUGCACUAAUAACGACGACGUCCAAAAGUACAUUUUUACACUCUUGACCUCGGAUCAGGUAGGGAUACCCGCUGAACUUAAGCAUAUCAAUAAGCGGAGGA